Molecule: long non-coding RNA, 2086 nt
Organism: Formica exsecta
Lineage: Eukaryota; Metazoa; Arthropoda; Insecta; Hymenoptera; Formicidae
Exons: 8
Source: RefSeq, a predicted model, not a curated record
AUCUGCUCAGUGGGUGUUAUCACAUUGUCGUAAGCUUCAAGUAGCUUCUGUAUCAGACUCCCGAUUGCGCCUGCAUCUUCGUGGUUCGUUUUACGACCUCGGAUUUGCACGCCUGCACGGUUGAGUCUUCACGUCGCUCCUCGAAGUACCGCGAUUUCCAAAUUGGGGGGCAAUCGAAUAGGUCAGACGAGGUAAUUUGUCGCUUCCAUAUAAAGGCACCGCAGAUAGUGCUUCAACUUUUAAUUUUUUCCUGCGCUUCGCUAUUAAUCUCAGAAGAAAUUUGUGUAAAAAGAAGAUUCCAAUUCCAAACUUCAUCGGGUUCCUUCACUAAAUUUUCAUUGUACAGUUUGUCUGCGAGAAGAGAAAGACUGAUACCAUCCAAUGAUGUAAAUGCUGCAUUUUUCACCAAAUCAGUAUCCAAUUCCUCUUCAUCGCCCCAGCCGGUUUUCCUAGAACGAGGUGGAACUAUCGGUCUUUGCAUAGGCACAGACUUUCCAGAUGACAAAGAAAUUGGACUCUCGAGAGGAUCAUCGUCAGAUCUAUUCUCUUCCUGCAAGUUAUUCUGACCUGCACGUCUACCUAAGCGAGGGAACCAAGCAUUCGGAGCCAAGCAUCAAAGUAACGGGAGAGAGUUCCUAUUCUAAGGCACUUUGAAUCAGACUUCACGAUGCAUUUGACAAGAGUAUGUGACAGUUAUUAAAUACCAUAUGUUUGCAAGCGGUAACCAUGACAACUUUACGACACGUUGCAUGUGGGGUUCGUUCGGAAAUCUAUCCACAAGAGUGGGAAUAUCUGACAUCGCGCGUUAUACAUGAAUGCAUACCUAGUAAAGUCGCCUUUACAAAGCCGCCAAGGUAGCAGAUCGAUCUUGUCGUGCAGUACAAAUGACAUAUCUGGACUGACAAUGUAUGGUGUGCCGGCACCAGAGCCGCGUGUCAACAGUCUUCUUUCCUCGUCAUAACAACAGUGCUGCGCGCCGAUGCUCUCGCUUCCCUGCGCCGGUAAGGAUCGCACGCAGUAAAAAGCGCCUUGUUUGUAGACGAGCCGCUGCGGAUCGUUGCUCGCAUCGCGCCAUCGAAAUUUCUUUUGUCGAUUCCUGUCCCAGAUCAGAUCAUCGUAAAAGAUGUCGUUGGGAUAUCGACAAGGGCACGCCGGUAGUUCGUCGAUGGAUCCUGCAGGAUAUAUCCAAAGAGUUUGAUCGGAAACACAUCCAUUCGAAUCCGCGUAUUAAGAGGCAAUUCAUCAAAGAAAAGAGACCGAUGACCGGCGUGACUAUGCGAUACGUAAAAGGCUGACACGAUCGCGACGACAUCAAAGAACGCCGGCGUUUGGCGCAUGGAUAGAACGGUGGAGGGGAAGAAAAGGGACGACGAUCCCCGAGCGGGGGAGAGAAGUUUACUUCUGAGAAACGGCACGCCGCAAGAUCGUUUCCCGUCAAUGGCGUAGCCGCCUGCCGGUAGCGAGGCGGAUUUUGGAAUUUGCCGAAUAAAAUUUGAGGAAAAAGAAUGACGAACCUUCUCUCGGGGUGCGCGAUUGUUCUCUUCUAAUUGGUCGAAGGAUGCCCAUGACAAAUCUUUGAGUCCUCGCUGAUGGCCAUUCUUACUUUCAAGGAAGUCUAGUUUCGGAUAUGCGUUAACAUCGCUCAGAGAUAUUAGCACCGACAAUAGCAGUAACAACCAGGACAGGACGUUUCUCAUCAUCACUGUCGAAAUGAAUAUUCACGUGUGAAAAAAAAAGAAUCAAAUCAGAAGGAUGGAAAACGUGCAUGAGUCAGAUGCUGAUAGUGGAGACUGUGUCUAAACAUAAUCCAAUUGAUUGUGAGACGUUGCCAUCUUUAUUUUAGAAACCACCUUUAAUCGGGAAGACACUUUUGUAUUUCUACAAGUAUUAAUAUCGAUAUUAGUAUUAUUAGUAGAUAUUUAUUCAUUUGUCAAGCAAAAUAAAAAGUUUACAUAACUAAGAAAAACAUAAAAGUAACGCGUCGAACUUAUAAAAGUAAUAUUUUUUUCUGUUUCAAUUUGUCCGAGCCAGAAUUAUUGUAAAAUCAUGGUACAGUAAAUUUUUUAAGAAUAAAAUUAUACAAGAA